ACCACAUAAGUUUCAGAAUACAGUGGCUCCUUAUCCACCAUCAUCCCUGUGAUAGCAGCUGAGACAGUCUUUGCAAAGGGCUUUGCAAAUUUCAAUCCAGAGGAUACAAAUAGAACAGUAGCUUGAGAAGUCCCAGCCUGACCCUGUUGGGCAUAUGCCAUUCUCUAGGUCCAUUCUUGAGCAAUUCAUUAUGGACACACUCAGAGAGGACUGCUAAUCCUGCAGAUUGAAGGACAUGUCUGCAGUUAGGAGCACUUUCAGGUCUGCUACAUCACUGCUCGGCAUAGGAAGAACCCUCUAACCUUAGCCCCCUAGAAACCAGAAAAGUUUGACCUGCCAUUUGGCUAUUGCUUUGUACUAACUGAUUAUCAUCUAUCUGACUCGAGCCUUUCAGGACAUUUUCAAACCUGGAUAAAGGUGUGUAGAGCUUGAACAAAGAUCUCUUUCCAGUAAAGGAAGAAUUAACCUAUGUCUGAAGAAUAUUGUGUAAUAUACUUGUGUAUGCACUCACACAUAUAUCUGCACACACAUGUGUGUACAUGUGAAAUAAUUCUACAGAAUUUCAGAUAUUUGUAUAUUUUUCAGGCAUGUUAUUACAUUGUUGUGGCUUAUGAUAUAUAAUAUCGUAAGUUAUUAAUACUGGCAUCCUAGUUUCAUAGAGGUUAAGAAACAUGAAAUUGUGACUUGUGUAAGUUCACACAAAUCUUGAAUGACACAAGUAAGAUCAACAUCUAGUUUUCUCAUCUAAUACAAUAUUUCAUAUUCUUUCUAUUAUUUGGUUCUGACUCUAAGUUAAACAAGAUGGAAAAAUGGGAGCAGGUAGGCUGCUAAUUAAAGCUUCUCUCUUCUUUCCUAUAAUGCAUUAUAGGCUACUUUAUCUGGCUUGUUUCUUAGAUCAGUCACUCUAAUUAGAGAUUAUACGUCCUCAGUGUUUACAUUGUAGAACCAGGAUUUUAACCAAGAUCUUCAGGACUUCCUGGAUAUAAUCUGUUCAUGACUCUGGGAGAGGAGUCCCUGGGAAUUCAUAUGCUUUGCCAACAAGGAGACCUGGCUUUGAACUCUAGAUCUAGUGUCAGCUCUGCUAACUGGCACAAGGUCCCAGGAACCUCAGUUUCUCAGCUGUCACAGUGACCCAACAAGAACCAUCUUGUUUAUGUUUGUAAAGGUGAAGGAAGGGUUAAAGGUGGGUCUCCAGCACAGAUUCAGACACAGUGGUCACUAAGUAACAUCUGCAGAAAAUCUAUAGAUUUUUCUGUUUACAUUUUGGCUGUCCUCUCUUUACAUUGCUAAGGUGGGUAUGAUUUGCCAAGUUUCACUUAGACCUAAUGGCCCAUUUAGAUCAAGUUACUGUCUGUAAAAACAGUUGACACCCAAAAGAGCAAUUUCGAGGAAAAAACUAAUACCCAAAGGGAUAAGUGAGAUUCCCCGAGGGCAAACAGUUUCUACAAUUCUCAUUCUUGAUUCUUCUGUCUAAACCAUACCUGACUUUUGCCAUGUUAUUGCUGCACAGAAGACCAGGGCAUAUAGCCUCUUAUGCUGCUUCCUGUCCUGCUCUCAGGAGAGUGUGAGUCAUGUCUCCCCCACUUGCCCCAUUCUGUCAGCUUGAGUAGGGGAUUUUCUUUGGCUUUUCCUUCUCCAAUGGAACAAAAGGAAAGAGUUGCUGCUGCUGUAGCUACUGGACUGGAAGAAAUCCUCCCGGCAUCCUGUGGUGGUUGAUCCUGACUGCAAAUUUGACUGGGUUUUGAAUCAACUAGGAAACAGCCUCUGGCCUUUUCUGUUGAGAAUUUGCUAAGAAGGAAAGGCCUGUCAUAAGAACAGAGAACCCAAAAUAAAGGGGUCUCUCUGCUUUUUCCUAUAUGCCUCCAUAUCCACUGAUGCUAAACUAGCUUCUUGGUCUUUCAGUGUGGGUUCCACAUAACUCUACAGAUAUCAGGCUUCCAGAGCCAGCUUGAAUUCUCUUAUGAGCCAUACUGCUAUCCUAUGUAGCUCCUAUGGUUUAAGUCAGUUAGUACUAUAUAGACUUAAAUGUAUAUGUACAUUGUAUCGGCUCUAUUCACCCUCUUUUCACCAUAGCCUGGAUAUCAUGUGGCUCUUUGUCAUAGUGGUGCUGUCAACAAUCUUUCAGCAAAGACAGAGACCACAGAGACAAUACCUAGCUUUAAGAGGAACACUGCAUUUCACAUUCUCUUUGCAGGUGUUUUGCAAGGCUGUGAGACCGAGAAUGAUUUCUGUUUCUUUUUGUUAUUUUAUACCUCAAAUUAUUCUUUUGCCUUCCUGUCCUAAAAAUAGAAUAACAUGCUCAAUUUUGUUCUUAACUCCUCUACUCUGAUACAGCCCCUGCAUUUCUAGGCCUUCUGUAUUUCCCUCCUCUGAUGCAUGUAACAUCUUGAUAAUCCCAACAUUGGAGUGGAGAAAUGGAAAGGAAAUAGCAUAAUAAAACACUUCUGUACCAU
Molecule: long non-coding RNA, 2453 nt
Filed under: Mus musculus (house mouse)
Lineage: Eukaryota; Metazoa; Chordata; Mammalia; Rodentia; Muridae
Description: long non-coding RNA chr1:193785970-193788423
Source: RNAcentral